AACGAACGCUGGCGGCAUGCCUAACACAUGCAAGUCGAACGAGGGUUUUCUCUUCGGAGGGGCCCUAGUGGCGCACGGGUGAGUAACACGUGGGAACCUGCCUUAUGGUUCGGGAUAACGUCUGGAAACGGACGCUAACACCGGAUGUGCCCUUCCCAGCGAUGGGAUGGGGAAAGUUUACGCCGUGAGAGGGGCCCGCGCCCGAUUAGGUAGUUGGUGGGGUAACGGCCUACCAAGCCGACGAUCGGUAGCUGGUCUGAGAGGAUGAUCAGCCACACUGGGACUGAGACACGGCCCAGACUCCUACGGGAGGCAGCAGUGGGGAAUAUUGGACAAUGGGGGCAACCCUGAUCCAGCAAUGCCGCGUGAGUGAUGAAGGCCUUCGGGUUGUAAAGCUCUUUCGCACGCGACGAUGAUGACGGUAGCGUGAGAAGAAGCCCCGGCUAACUUCGUGCCAGCCGCCGCGGUAA
This 470-nucleotide ribosomal RNA is filed under the name uncultured bacterium. RNAcentral describes it as "partial 16S ribosomal RNA". It matches the Rfam family "Bacterial small subunit ribosomal RNA", at positions 28 to 523 of the family's 1533-position model. The record is from RNAcentral.